AAUCUUACACACUCAAUUCAGACACUUCUCUUCCUCAUUGUCUUUCCUCUCUCUCUCCCGUAGACUCUCUUCUCCCUCUUUUUCCCUCAAACCCUAAAAUUUCGCCGCCGAGCUUUCACCAUGAAAGAAGAUGUAUGGCUAUGAAAAGUUCCCUCUUUUUCCCUCAAACCCUAAAAUUCCACCGCCGAGCUUUCACCAUGAAAGAAGAUGCACGGCUAUGAAAAUUUUCCUCUUUCCCCUCAAGCCCUAAAAUUCCGCCGCCGAACUUUCAUCUUGAAGAAGAUGCACGACUAUGUUCAUGUUUCUUUUAACAUUGUACACCGUUGGUUUUGAUUAACCCUGAGUAAUAACUUUCUGGUUUGAUUUUUUUUUGUUUUUUCAGUUGAUUUGAGUUCAAUACUGCUGAGGUUAAUGAGAGUUUGUUUACAAGAUCAAUUUUGGGCAGAUUUACUUGAGUAAACCUAUGAUUAUCGAAACUGAUGGAGAAACUAAGCCUUCACUUUUUUAUAAUAGAAGCUCUCUACGGUACACCACUUAGAGAUUUAAGACAUGGAGCAGGAGCACGAGAGGUAGAAGAUCAAAGUGAUGAAACACGGGGAAGAAUCGAGGACAUUUUUUUUCUCUUUCUCUACCAUUUUCCAAUCUUCCCCUUUUAAGUUCUUCUGAUUUUAAUGAAUUUUCGCUAACUUUAAUUUGAUUGUAUUCUAUCAGUAGGUUUUGAAUGUUAUUGUGAAAUAAGUUUAUUUGUCUGUCUUGUAUUCUAUAUGAACUUGAAUAUGCAUGCUUUUAUUUAAUUCUUUUCAGUUAUACGAUUGUUACAGGCUUGCUUUUUUGGUUGUUGAAUUCAUUUAACUUAUGCCUUUAAUUACCACUUCAUAUAUGUUUUAUAUUUAUGCUGUGGUCAUUCCACUUAUUUAGGUUGUCUUAUCCUUCUAUGUAGAAUGCAGCGAUGCAUCUUUAUGGUGGUGCACAAUAUCACCGGGCAAUGGCUGAGUUUGGUUUUGUAGUUGGAGGAAUCAAGUGUCCUCCAAUCACCCGGGAAGAAGUUGUAAAUGCUUGUGGAGUUGAAGACAUUCAUGAUGGAAAGUACAGACUUAUGUCAAAGUUUGUACCUUAACAUAAGAGAAUUAUGGAUGAAACCUAACCAAUGUAUCUGAAACUAAAUUAUACCAUUAACAUUGGCCUUUAAGGAUUGCUCAGUAGUCUUCUAAAGCAAGCCGAGAUAAGAAUCACGAUACCGUCACCGCCGUUGAAAAUUGCAGCCUAAAUGACUUUAUGAAAUAUACUUUGUAUUAGCCUUUGAAUUGAUUUCCUAUCUUGCAACCAUUGUCAUGUUCUUGAGGUGAUUGAACAUAUGGAGGAAUAUCAAGCUUAGAGGUGUCUGAUGUAUGGAAUAUUCUCUGCUCUAUAUAUAGUUGCGCAAAGCAAAGCUGACUGUUAGGUUGAUUGCUUAUGAAAUAUCAGUGUGAUUAGGAGGAUAAAAUCCUUAAAAGUUAAUGUAAUAAGUGUCAGGAUCCAUUAUGGACUUUGAGAAGAUAUACAAGAUCCAAUUUUGAUUUC
Long non-coding RNA from Vicia villosa (hairy vetch), 1560 nucleotides. RefSeq lists it as uncharacterized. NCBI's taxonomy places the organism in Eukaryota, Viridiplantae, Streptophyta, Magnoliopsida, Fabales, Fabaceae. The record is from RefSeq and is a predicted model, not a curated record. The transcript has 5 exons.